Molecule: non-coding RNA, 1082 nt
Organism: Xyrichtys novacula (pearly razorfish)
Lineage: Eukaryota; Metazoa; Chordata; Actinopteri; Labriformes; Labridae
Source: the annotation of a GenBank genome assembly
UUGGCUUUAGCCUGUUAUGCAACAAAGCAAGAAUUAAACUGAACGCAAAACAUUAACUUUGUGUUGUUUACAAACUUGACAAAUGGCAGUAAGCAAUGUUAUUGUAUUUUUGUAAAGUUUCCCUUUAGGUGACAAAGCGAGGCUGAAGCAGUGGCUGGUGAGCACAAGACAGCAGGACUGGAAACCAACAGGAUCAUCACGUCUUUGCAGUGCUCAUUUUGAAGAGCAUGCCUUUACUGUGGACUCAAAGGUUAAAUUAUUUCUUUUUUAAUGGACAGCAAUUUUUAUGAAGUUCACAUUUGCAACAAUUUAUUGUUAAAUUGACUAACACUUUGAAUCAUAAAAUGGCGGUUAUUUAAACAUUCCCAACAGCUGAACACUACAACUAUCCAUUUUAAAUUACUGCUGUUUUUAUGUUUUCUAAAAUUAGGUAUUUGCAUGUAGUUGUAGUGUCUGCUACCAUCUACUGGUCAUUAUUAGUUAGUGUCAUCAGUCAUUUUCAGUUUAAGUUGGCGCAGCCUGGAGUAAACAGGAAUCAUGUUGCAAAAAAAAUUUGAGUGAUACCACAUGAACAACUUCUUAUGCUUAGACCAAAUGUGCCCUGUUAGAUAAAGGUAACAGCACUAGCCAAGUAGUAGUCUCUAAGAAUGCUAACUAAAUGAAACCUUUUAAAUAAUUGGACAAGUAUAUCAAAACCUCUAAAGUUUUCAUGCUGAGCUACCACCUGGUUUGAGACAUUAAGUGUCUUAAUGAAUUUAAGUACUGGUAUUCACAAUUUAAUUGAUGAAUUUCUUUGUUUUUCAGACUUCAUCACCAACCACUGAUGAUAUGGUGGAUUCAUCUGCUGCAGCCUGUUUCCUUUCCACCCAAUGCAACUCCCAAAGUACUAGAUUAUAUCUUUUUAAGUUCCUGGUAAAAUAACAAACAUACAGGUUUUCUGCAAACGAGUUAAGUAUUUAUAAAUCACAAAUAAAUACUAAAAUGCUAGUGUCCUCUCACAAGUGUCCAUGUCAUGCUAUCUGAUUUACAUUAAUUACAUGCUGUUCACUACACAUAUUGUCAGUUUGUUUUUUCAGUUUUAC